GAUGUCUCCACAGGGACUUGAACCCCGAACCCCUCGAUUAAAAGUCGAGUGCUCUAGCCGAUUGAGCUAUGAAGACA
Molecule: transfer RNA, 77 nt
Filed under: Enterococcus phage iF6
Lineage: Duplodnaviria; Heunggongvirae; Uroviricota; Caudoviricetes; Herelleviridae
Description: tRNA-Lys
Source: RNAcentral